AGUGAACGCUGGCGGCGUGCCUAAUACAUGCAAGUCGAACGCAGUGGGGACGGGUGAGUAACAAGUGGGUAACCUCCCAUCAGAGGGGAUAAACCUUGGAAACAGGUGCUAAACCGAUACUGAUGGAUGGACCCGCGGUGCAUUAGCUAGUUGGUGAGGUAACGGCUCACCAAGGCCACGAUGCAUAGCCGACCGGAGAGGAGGAACGGCCACACUGGGACUGGGACACGGCCCAGAAUCCUACGGGAGGCAGCAGUAGGGAAUCGUCGGCAAUGGACGAAAGUCUGACGGAGCAAUGCCGCGUGAAUGAAGAAGGUUUUCGGAUCGUAAAACUCUGUUGUUAGAGAAGCGGUAUCUAACCAGAAAGCCACGGCUAACUACGUGCCAGCAGCCGCGGUAAUUC
This 403-nucleotide ribosomal RNA is filed under the name uncultured bacterium. RNAcentral's name for it is "partial 16S ribosomal RNA". It matches the Rfam family "Bacterial small subunit ribosomal RNA", at positions 29 to 526 of the family's 1533-position model. The record is from RNAcentral.